Contarinia nasturtii (swede midge) is the source of this 556-nucleotide long non-coding RNA. RefSeq lists it as uncharacterized. NCBI's taxonomy places the organism in Eukaryota, Metazoa, Arthropoda, Insecta, Diptera, Cecidomyiidae. The record is from RefSeq and is a predicted model, not a curated record. The transcript has 2 exons.
GCCAAUAAUGUUGCAUACGGUGUGUCAAAGGCCGCUCUUAUUAAACUAACUGAAUCGAUUGCAAGGGAUUUCGGUUCAAAGGGCAUUCGAGCGAAUUCAAUCUGUCCAGGAAUGGUUCGAACACCAAUAUUCCAAACCGGGUGGGGCAUAACAAAAGAAGAAGCUGAUAAAUAUCUCGAUGAAAAUGGUAAACUUUAUCCACUUGGGCGUGCUGGUGAGGUAUCGGAUACAUCGAAUGCGAUUGAAUUUUUGAUUAGCGAGCAGGCAGCUUUCAUCACAGGAUCUUCAUUAACCGUUGAUGGCGGAUCCAUUGUUGGGAUGGUCGAUGCAUAAAUGAAUAGUAAUUUCAUAAUGAGAGACGUAGAGUGGGUUAUGUUUUUCGAAAUGCUAUGUCAAAAUGAAGUUCUGCUUUAUUUUUAACUAAAUCGCCGAAAAAUAUCCAACUCUUAUCUCCAUUUUUGCUAACAAAAAGAACAUAUUUUUCACCAAAAAAAUGUAAAUUUUCUAUAAAAUUUUCGAAAUGGUUAAAAAUUAUAUAUAUAUAUUGUCAAAUGUA